RNAcentral lists this ribosomal RNA (326 nucleotides) under uncultured eukaryote. Its description in RNAcentral is "partial 18S ribosomal RNA". It matches the Rfam family "Eukaryotic small subunit ribosomal RNA", at positions 1470 to 1796 of the family's 1831-position model. The record is from RNAcentral.
CCCUUAGAUGUUCUGGGCCGCACGCGCGCUACACUGACGAAUGCAACGAGCUAUAACCUUGGCCGAAAGGUCUGGGUAAUCUCCAAAUUUCGUCGUGAUGGGGAUAGAUUAUUGCAAUUAUUAAUCUUCAACGAGGAAUGCCUAGUAAGCGCAAGUCAUCAGCUUGCGUUGAUUACGUCCCUGCCCUUUGUACACACCGCCCGUCGCUCCUACCGAUUGAAUGGUCCGGUGAAGCGUUCGGACCGUGGCCUUUGGACGGUUCGCCGUCUGUUGGCUGCGGGAAGUUCGUUAAACCUUAUCAUUUAGAGGAAGGAGAAGUCGUAACA